Molecule: long non-coding RNA, 97 nt
Organism: Etheostoma cragini (Arkansas darter)
Lineage: Eukaryota; Metazoa; Chordata; Actinopteri; Perciformes; Percidae
Exons: 3
Source: RefSeq, a predicted model, not a curated record
CUUUACUAUUUACAGAUUUUUUCAGUCUAAUACUUCAACAGUUUUAGGACAAACCGAGACUUUCUUCACUUGCUAAGUUCUCUUUUAAACUGAUAAA